AGUUUUAAUAAUUUAAAUAAAAAUAUUGGUCUUGUAAAUCAAAAAUAAGAAUUUUUCUUUUAAAACUUC
RNAcentral lists this transfer RNA (69 nucleotides) under Apotropina sp. 1 JJC-2023a. Its description in RNAcentral is "tRNA-Thr". The record is from RNAcentral. Lineage: Eukaryota; Metazoa; Arthropoda; Insecta; Diptera; Chloropidae.